Molecule: long non-coding RNA, 582 nt
Organism: Homo sapiens (human)
Lineage: Eukaryota; Metazoa; Chordata; Mammalia; Primates; Hominidae
Source: Ensembl
CCUGGGACAUAUUUGUACCCCAUCUCUAUUUAAUGCCUUUAUACAAUUCUUAAUUCUACCAGCCUUUAUUGAGCCUGCUUUCUUUGUCUAGCUGAGUGCCACGUGCUGACAUCACUAAGAUCAAUACAGCAAACUCUGAAAGAUGGACGGAGAGACAGGAGAUGGUCCUUUAUAAUGCAGUGUGAUCUGUGCUGCAAUAGAGAUGGAAGAGUGUUCUGAUCGGCUGGAAAACAACGCACAUGGGAAGCUGUACAGAAAUGAGUGGGGAAAGUUUUGGAAGCUAGAAGUUCAAAACGAGGUGUUGGCAGCACCAUGCUCUCUCUGAAGAUGCUAGGAAGAAUCUGCUCCAUGCCUUUCCAUUCGCUUCUGGGGUUUCCUGCAAGCCCUGACAUUCCUUGGCUUGUAGAUACACCACCCCAGUUUCCGCCCCCAUCAUCACAUGGCCUCCUCUCUGUGUGUGCCUCUGCGUUCCCUCUAUUCUUCUUCUAAGGACACCGACACCAGUCAUAGUGGAUUAAGGGUCCACUCCUAACCAAUUACAUCUGCAACAACCCUAUUUCCAAAUAAAGUCACAUUCUAAGA